RNAcentral lists this long non-coding RNA (2444 nucleotides) under Cricetulus griseus (Chinese hamster). RNAcentral describes it as "lncRNA (ENSCGRG00015029082.1)". The record is from RNAcentral. Lineage: Eukaryota; Metazoa; Chordata; Mammalia; Rodentia; Cricetidae.
CAGGAAGAUGCCAAAUAAAGAAGAGAUUCUAGAUUUGCAGCAUGAAACUGAGAGCUCUCUAAAGAUGACAAGAUGCCUGUUUUGGGUCUUUAUCAAUGUUUAGUUGCUAGGAGUUUCCAGUCCACGAUCCUCCACUCAGGCUGAACCUCAUGGUUUCCGUGGCUUGGGGCUGACACAUGCCAGGCCAUGACAGAUGCCAUCAAAGUUGUUCAAGAUUCGAGCUGAAAAGGAAAAUCCUCUCGAACAGGAUAAAUGACAGGCAUGAUUUCCAGGGGUUCCAGGAACCAGGAGCCCUGGUCUGCAUAGAAUAUCGGAUGCUGACUUGCUAUUGAACAACAUGACCUCAGUGGGGAAUGUCUCCUAGUUUGCAUCUCUAUGGGCCUAAGCAUCUGAAUAAACCUGCACCUGGGCAGAAGGACUAGGUAUGGUCCCACACAGCCAAUGAAGUCCUGCCUGACAGCAAUCCCUGGAUGCUCUGGGAAAAAAUUGGGCCAUACCUUCUCAAUUGCCCUGGAUCCAACUUACUCCGUUUCAACUGCCACUCCGACCAGAGCUUUGGGUACUGACUUCAGUCAAGUUGAAGAUUUCAGCCUAGAUCUUCAAUCAAGCAAAUCCCAUCUAACAUGGACUGGAUAUAAUCCAUUAGAGACUUUCACUAUACUAACAUUUUCUUCCUAGAGGACAGCACGAGGCUAUUGUCAUCUCAUUUCAGCAGGAAGUAACUUAGAGAAUGCUACCACCCUUCCCUCCAUUGUUGUCACUAAGGAUAAUGUACACCUGGUUAGGGAUUGCUUCCUAUUGCUAAGGUUGGGAUUGGAAGGAGGUGUUCAUGCUUGGACACCUCCUUCAGAUGACUUUAAGGUUUAGUUAAAAUAGACAUAGGAUAUUGAAAGACCCUCGGACCGAGGAGUCUCUACAAAUCGGACGAUCCCCCCCAAAACACUCAAUGUCCAGUCCAGCUGAUGCAAAAACAAGAGUGUCCUAACAGCAAAACUGAGCGAGAUAGAGGUCAGGCUGUGAUGACCAAGACACAUGGCUGAAACAGAAGUCGGGAAGUCUGUACCCGUGUUUCCAGAUGCCCUCAGCCCUUCUCCAAACCACACAGAGCAGCCAGUAGACCAGAUUAGAGACGAAAGGGAAAAUCCCGGAAGGCGCUCUGAUGUCUCUCCAGCAAAGAAGAAAACAGCGGGCAGAGUCGAGAGAAUAAGGAACCCAGGCAGAGGAGUCCUAGGCAAAGCUCCAGUGGCUCCUCCUACAGACUGCACCACAGCCGAGCAAGGGGCCACCUUGAAGAGAAGAGCAGGGCGAGCCAGAGAAAGAGGAAGGCAUGAGCCCCAGUCUACCCCAUCAAAACAACACUGGACAAGAGAUUCCCAAUCCGGGCACUCAGAACCGCGUCUCAAGGACAGAAGGCCCCACCCAAGAUCUCCUGUGAGGCCCAUGAAGUGCGAAAGGUCUGAAGACACCCGUGCAGCUCCAAGCAACACUCGGAAGAGGACCAGACAACAUUCUGCAGAAGCCGGCUGCUCCAGGGAGCCCUCACUGCUGUCUAGAGUCAGGGCCCACAUGGGUGCCUUGGAGGUGGCCCUGGAAGAACUGCAGGGCCCCGGAGGGGCCUUCCUGCCUGAGCCCUCGGUCAGCACAGAGCCCAGGGUCUCGCAGCGCGCCUGGCUCUCCUGGCAGCUGUCGCAAGCAGGGGCCGCACUGCACUGGGCGCUGCACACAGCCAAUACCAUCUUGGCGAACCAGGCCCGGAUGCCCAGACACCCAUGGCCUUAGGACAGUCAGCCAUUGCAGAGCACAGCAGAGCAGAGACCAGCAUGUCUUGAGCCCUGCUGAGCACCCGAGGGACUCCACCUCAGCGUCUUUUGCCUGGCUCAAUGACACAUGGCCUGUCUCUGCACCAUCUCCUGGAAGGAAGACUCACUGGGGUCUUGGACUGUGCAAAGAGAGACUUCGCUAUUGGUGACUACCUUUACAGUGCACAAGCUUUCGGGAUAUUCUGGAAAAGGACUGACUCAUAGAAUGAAAUCGACCAGUGGAGUCUGGGGACAUCCUACAGGCACCCUCCCACUUCUUUGGACAGGAUCACUCAUGCAAAGUGGGGGUUCAACUUGCUUUCUUUCUGCUGGGCUCUUAGAUACUGCCUGAAUCCAGACUGCAUCAUACUAGCAAAUGCACUGCCAACUAAAAGGCCAUGUUGUCUUGGUUAUUGAUGAAAUUCAGGCCAACACUCACACACUCUUCACUCCAUUUUCCUUUGGGAGAGAGUCAAUCCUUGUAGUUUUUAGAUCUGUGAUGUGUUAAACCUGCCACUCAUUAGAGCUCUAUGUUGUUGCUAUUUUGAAGAUGCACAAGCAUUUCCAUUUUGUAAUGCUUCAUCAUACAUAGUUUUUUUCAUUGUUGUUUUUAUCAAGAUUUCAUUGGUCAACUUAGAAUGCUUA